AUGGCGCCGCCGCCAGCCUCCCGCCGAGCAUCACCGCCGGAGCCGCCAUUCCUUCGAACUCCAAAUGAGCUCCUGGAGGACAUCUUCCUCCGCCUCCCCACGGCGGCCGACCUCGCCCGCGUCUCCACCGCCUCCGCCUCCUUCCGCCGCGUCAUUGCCGACCACGCCUUCCUCCGCCGGUACCGAUCCCUCCACUCGCCGCCUCUCAUCGGCAUGAUCGCCGGCCACUUCAUACCAGCCCAGCCGCCGCAUCCGUCCGCUGCCCCCGCUCGCGCAUUCGCCGGCUUUGACUUCUCCUGCUCCUCCUUCCUCCCCUCCACGGCCGGCCGUACCUGGAGUCCACGCGACUUCUUCGACGGACGUGCCCUCCUCGCCAGCGCCCCGGCGUCUGUGAUUUCAAUGUCUGAAAGAGUGGGCGUGCCCUGCUUAAAUUAUGUGUUUCCUUGA
This 447-nucleotide ribosomal RNA is filed under the name Triticum aestivum (bread wheat). Its description in RNAcentral is "partial small subunit ribosomal RNA". The record is from RNAcentral. Lineage: Eukaryota; Viridiplantae; Streptophyta; Magnoliopsida; Poales; Poaceae.